Long non-coding RNA from Danaus plexippus (monarch butterfly), 838 nucleotides. RefSeq lists it as uncharacterized. The transcript has 4 exons. The record is from RefSeq and is a predicted model, not a curated record. Lineage: Eukaryota; Metazoa; Arthropoda; Insecta; Lepidoptera; Nymphalidae.
AUGAGAUCGUUACUUUUCAUUCUGAUUCAACGAAAGGAGCCGUUGAGACCUAGCUGAUUCAUAUUAGAAACUUCUAGUUAACUCUGCUUGAAUAUCUGUGCUUUUGCUUCUGUAUUUAUUACGGGCCGUGGAUUAUUGUUUAACUAGAUUAUUGCUUCUUUUCUUAAUUACUAAAUAUUAACUAUCGCCGAUUUCAUUUUGCACGGGUUUAAUGACGGAUUAAUUUUUUUGCGAUGUAGGUACCUACACGUGUACAACAAGAAGAUCCAUUGCAUUUCCUGCUUCUGGAUAAGAAAGUGAAAAAGAGUGACGUGGCGUUAUUGAUUUAAAGGAUCUGUUUAAGUGUACUAAAGAAUUGAAACAGCCUGAACACACUGAGCUGGUUAAUAGAAGCAGCUCAGUGAUACUCAGAAACACAAAUUACUUCAGAGAAGCAAGCAAAAAUUUUAUGUUGCUUGACCGCUUGCUUGCUUGUACCAUUUCCUCUGGCUCCAUCCUCUGCUAAAUGUACCUCGCUUCCAUACAGCUGUUGCUUUGAGCUUGAGAAAACAUUCUUGUAUUAUAACAUGAAGAAAAUGGUUACCAAGGAUUAAUAUUUUUAAAAAAGAUGGCGUUGAAGAGCUGCCUCAGAGAUUUUCAAAUUCACUGAGAUGAUGAGAUGAGAUUUUCAAGACACUGAGGAGUUGUCACAGGCAAUUUUAGAUAAUCAAGAACAGAAAGACGACCAAAUUAACAAAAACAUAUGCAAUGAUAACAUCGUAUGGAAAGAGCUUACAUUAAAUGUGAACGACACAUCCUGCAUACUCAUGUUGUACGAGAAUCCGCUCUAGUGCCGGGA